RNAcentral lists this ribosomal RNA (550 nucleotides) under uncultured bacterium. RNAcentral's name for it is "bacterial SSU rRNA". It matches the Rfam family "Bacterial small subunit ribosomal RNA", at positions 355 to 896 of the family's 1533-position model. The record is from RNAcentral.
UAGGGAAUCUUCGGCAAUGGUCGGAAGUCUGACCGAGCAACGCCGCGUGAGUGAAGAAGGUUUUCGGAUCGUAAAGCUCUGUUGUAAGAGAAGAACGAGUGUGAGAGUGGAAAGUUCACACUGUGACGGUAUCUUACCAGAAAGGGACGGCUAACUACGUGCCAGCAGCCGCGGUAAUACGUAGGUCCCGAGCGUUGUCCGGAUUUAUUGGGCGUAAAGCGAGCGCAGGCGGUUAGAUAAGUCUGAAGUUAAAGGCUGUGGCUUAACCAUAGUAGGCUUUGGAAACUGUUUAACUUGAGUGCAAGAGGGGAGAGUGGAAUUCCAUGUGUAGCGGUGAAAUGCGUAGAUAUAUGGAGGAACACCGGUGGCGAAAGCGGCUCUCUGGCUUGUAACUGACGCUGAGGCUCGAAAGCGUGGGGAGCAAACAGGAUUAGAUACCCUGGUAGUCCACGCUGUAAACGAUGAGUGCUAGGUGUUAGACCCUUUCCGGGGUUUAGUGCCGUAGCUAACGCAUUAAGCACUCCGCCUGGGGAGUACGACCGCAAGGUUG